This 479-nucleotide ribosomal RNA is filed under the name uncultured bacterium. Its description in RNAcentral is "partial 16S ribosomal RNA". It matches the Rfam family "Bacterial small subunit ribosomal RNA", at positions 28 to 507 of the family's 1533-position model. The record is from RNAcentral.
GAUGAACGCUGGCGGCGUGCUUAACACAUGCCAGUCGAACGAAGCACUUAAGAUUGAUUCUUCGGAUGACGUCUUUUGUGACUUAGUGGCGGACGGGUGAGUAACGCGUGGGUAACCUGCCUCACACAGGGGGAUAACAGUUAGAAAUGACUGCUAAUACCGCAUAACCCGAUAGGAUCGCAUGAUCCAGACGGAAAAGAUUUAUCGGUGUGAGAUGGACCCGCGUCUGAUUAGCUAGUUGGUGAGGUAACGGCCCACCAAGGCGACGAUCAGUAGCCGGCCUGAGAGGGGGAACGGCCACAUUGGGACUGAGACACGGCCCAAACUCCUACGGGAGGCAGCAGUGGGGAAUAUUGCACAAUGGGGGAAACCCUGAUGCAGCGACGCCGCGUGAGUGAAGAAGUAUUUCGGUAUGUAAAGCUCUAUCAGCAGGGAAGAAAAUGACGGUACCUGAAGAAGAAGCCCCGGCUAACUACGUG